UACGUAGGGGGCGAGCGUUGUCCGGAAUGACUGGGCGUAAAGGGCGCGUAGACGGCUGUCUAAGUCUGGAGUGAAAGUCCUGCUUUCAAGGUGGGAAUUGCUUUGGAGACUGGAUGGCUUGAGUGCGGAAGAGGUAAGUGGAAUUCCCAGUGUAGCGGUGAAAUGCGUAGAGAUUGGGAGGAACACCAGUGGCGAAGGCGACUUACUGGGCCGUAACUGACGUUGAUGCGCGAAAGCUAGGGGAGCGAACGGGCUUAGAUACCCCGGUAGUCCUAGCUGUAAACGUUGGAUACUGGGUAUUGGGGGUAUGAAUUCCCUCAGUGCCGAAGCAAACGCGUUAAGUAUCCCGCCUGGGGACUACGGCCGCAAGGUUAAA
This 376-nucleotide ribosomal RNA is filed under the name uncultured bacterium. RNAcentral's name for it is "bacterial SSU rRNA". It matches the Rfam family "Bacterial small subunit ribosomal RNA", at positions 524 to 898 of the family's 1533-position model. The record is from RNAcentral.